Oncorhynchus keta (chum salmon) is the source of this 795-nucleotide long non-coding RNA. RefSeq lists it as uncharacterized. The transcript is spliced from 3 exons. Lineage: Eukaryota; Metazoa; Chordata; Actinopteri; Salmoniformes; Salmonidae. The record is from RefSeq and is a predicted model, not a curated record.
CAAUGUGGAGACUAUAUACAGGGUAUUACGGUACAGAGUCAAUGUGGAGACUAUAUACAGGGUAUUACGGUACAGAGUCAAUGUGGAGGCUAUAUACAGGGUAUUACGGUACAGAGUCAAUGUGGAGGCUAUAUACAGGGUAUUACGGUACAGAGUCAAUGUGGAGACUAUAUACAGGGUAUUACGGUACAGAGUCAAUGUGGAGGCUAUAUACAGGGUAUUACGGUACAGAGUCAAUGUGGAGGCUAUAUACAGGGUAUUACGGUACAGAGUCAAUGUGGAGGCUAUAUACAGGGUAUUACGGUACAGAGUCAAUGUGGAGGUUAUAUACAGGGUAUUACGGUACAGAGUCAAUGUGGAGGCUAUAUACAGGGUAUUACGGUACAGAGUCAAUGUGGAGGCUAUAUACAGGGUAUUACGGUACAGAGUCAAUGUGGAGGCUAUAUACAGGGUAUUACGGUACAGAGUCAAUGUGGAGGCUAUAUACAGGGUAUUACGGUACAGAGUCAAUGUGGAGACUAUAUACAGGGUAUUACGGUACAGAGUCAAUGUGGAGGCUAUAUACAGGGUAUUACGGUACAGAGUCAAUGUGGAGGCUAUAUACAGGGUAUUACGGUACAGAGUCAAUGUGGAGACUAUAUACAGGGUAUUACGGUACAGAGUCAAUGUGGAGGCUAUAUACAGGGUAUUACGGUACAGAGUCAAUGUGGAGGCUAUAUACAGGGUAUUACGGUACAGAGUCAAUGUGGAGGCUAUAUACAGGGUAUUACGGUACAGAGUCAAUGUGGAGGUUAU